AGAAAUAUGUCUGACAAAAGAGU
RNAcentral lists this transfer RNA (23 nucleotides) under Alcelaphus buselaphus buselaphus. Its description in RNAcentral is "partial tRNA-Ile". The record is from RNAcentral. RNAcentral also lists the same sequence under 1 other name. Lineage: Eukaryota; Metazoa; Chordata; Mammalia; Artiodactyla; Bovidae.